This 355-nucleotide ribosomal RNA is filed under the name uncultured bacterium. Its description in RNAcentral is "partial 16S ribosomal RNA". It matches the Rfam family "Bacterial small subunit ribosomal RNA", at positions 338 to 710 of the family's 1533-position model. The record is from RNAcentral.
CCUACGGGAGGCAGCAGUGGGGGAUAUUGCACAAUGGGGGGAACCCUGAUGCAGCGACGCCGCGUGGGGGAAGAAGGGCCUAGGGGCGGAAAGCCCUGUCAGCAGGGAAGAAAAUGACGGUACCUGAAGAAGAAGCCACGGACACCUCCGGGACAGAAGCCGCGGUAACACGGAGGGGGCAAGCGUGAUCCGGAUUUACGGGGGUUAAAGGGGGCGUAGAGGGGGGGGAAAGACAGGGGUGAAAGCCCGGGGCCCAACCCCGGGACUGCUCUUGGAACUGCGUGGCUGGAGUGCAGGAGGGGCAGGCGGAAUUCCUGGUGUAGCGGUGAAAUGCGUAGAUAUCAGGCGGAACACC